ACUCUCAUAGAUCAGUAGGGAGGAGAAGGCAGCUUCUGCCCUGGACUCUCCUUGGAGGAUUGUAACUCAUCAGCUUGGUUGAUUGUCAUCCAGUGAGGCUUACAGGGGUAUCAAGGACUUAGAGGUGCAAAGGCGAGUUUGGAAGUGAGGCAGGUCCUAAGGGGCUGAGUCAAGUCUGUUCUUUCUUUCUUGUUUAAAAAUCUCAUGUGCUGGAAGUCUUUAGUGUUCCUUAUUCCUCCUAGCACUUUUCCUUCCAAAUUGAAGACUCUUGACACAGUGAUCCUCCUCAUGUGACUAGGAGGAGAAUUUCCAAUUUUAGGGCAGGAUGAUACCUAAUGACUGUUGGAGCCGGUACUGGUGCCCCAAGAAGAUCCUGCUCUGUCAUUUCAGUCGUGUCCGACCCCAUAGACGGCAGCCCACCAGGCUCCCCCAUCCCCGGGAUUUUCCAGUGAUAGACUUGUUGCAGCUUCUUGAGCAUCUCCCAGAUAGAUCCCAGGAACCAAGCACAGAAAUUAAAGCAAGAAGCCAAGCAGUGUGACUUUAUGGCCAUUAACACACAAAGAAAAUCCUGUGAGGAUUCACGAACGAGUUAAAAGCGUGCUCUCAGCCCUGCCUAGUUCUGCAUUCUGUCACUCCUUACUCUCAAAUUCUCGACGAUAUACUGAGAGAAGUUCCUCAGAAAAAAAAACAGGCCGAAGGGAACGCCAAGCAUUUGUGACGUGAUUAAGGGAACUACCUCGGAGCAACAUAGAGGACCGCACCGUAGACAGGAAUUGAAUCGGCCUUCUCUAAAU
This is a long non-coding RNA of Bos taurus (domestic cattle), 794 nucleotides long. Lineage: Eukaryota; Metazoa; Chordata; Mammalia; Artiodactyla; Bovidae. The record is from Ensembl.